RNAcentral lists this small nuclear RNA (97 nucleotides) under Mus pahari (shrew mouse). Lineage: Eukaryota; Metazoa; Chordata; Mammalia; Rodentia; Muridae. The record is from RNAcentral.
UCGCUCCGGCAGCACAUAGACUACAAUCGGAACAAUACAGAGAAGAUCAGCACGGCCCCUGCGCAAGGAUGACAUUCGAGAAGCGUUCUUUAACAAA